RNAcentral lists this ribosomal RNA (472 nucleotides) under uncultured bacterium. RNAcentral's name for it is "bacterial SSU rRNA". It matches the Rfam family "Bacterial small subunit ribosomal RNA", at positions 355 to 825 of the family's 1533-position model. The record is from RNAcentral.
UGGGGAAUUUUGGACAAUGGGGGCAACCCUGAUCCAGCGAUGCCGCGUGUGUGAAGAAGGCCUUCGGGUUGUAAAGCACUUUUAGUGGGGAAGAAAAGCUUAUGACUAAUAACCAUAAGUAUUGACGUUACCCAAAGAAAAAGCACCGGCUAACUCUGUGCCAGCAGCCGCGGUAAUACAGAGGGUGCGAGCGUUAAUCGGAAUUACUGGGCGUAAAGCGCAUGUAGGUCGAUAUUUAAGUCGGGUGUGAAAGCCCCGGGCUCAACCUGGGAAUAGCAUUCGAUACUGAAUAUCUAGAGUAUGGUAGAGGGAAGUGGAAUUUCCGGUGUAGCGGUGAAAUGCGUAGAUAUCGGGAGGAAUACCAGUGGCGAAAGCGGCUCUCUGGUUCAAUACUGACACUGAGAUGCGAAAGCGUGGGGAGCGAACGGGAUUAGAUACCCAGGUAGUCCCUGAGCGGGCUGGCAAGGCGCAU